This 732-nucleotide ribosomal RNA is filed under the name uncultured bacterium. Its description in RNAcentral is "bacterial SSU rRNA". It matches the Rfam family "Bacterial small subunit ribosomal RNA", at positions 759 to 1504 of the family's 1533-position model. The record is from RNAcentral.
GCUAGGGUAGCGAACCGGAUUAGANACCCUGGUAGUCCUAGCCGUAAACGAUGGAUGCUAGGUGUAUGGGGGAAACCCUGUGUGCCGGAGCAAACGCGAUAAGCAUCCCGCCUGGGGAUUACGGCCGCAAGGCUAAAACUCAAACGAAUUGACGGGGCCCCGCACAAGCAGCGGAGCGUGUGGUUUAAUUCGAUGUUACACGAAGAACCUUACCUGGGUUUGACAUGAGCGUGGUACCGAUCCGAAAGGAAAGGGACCCUUCGGGGAGCGCCCACAGGUGCUGCAUGGCUGUCGUCAGCUCGUGCCGUGAGGUGUCGGGUUAAGUCCCGUAACGAGCGCAACCCUUGCCCUUAGUUACAGGUGUCUAAGGGGACUGCCGGCGGUAAGCCGGAGGAAGGUGGGGAUGACGUCAAGUCAGCAUGGCCCGUAUGUCCAGGGCUACACACACGCUACAAUGGUCGGUACAAAGGGCAGCGAAGCCGCGAGGUGGAGCGAAUCUCACAAAGCCGAUCGUAGUUCGGAUUGCAGGCUGCAACUCGCCUGCAUGAAGCUGGAGUUGCUAGUAACCGCGCGUCAGCUAUAGUGCGGUGAAUACGUUCCCGGGGCUUGUACACACCGCCCGUCACGUCAUGGGAGUCGGUAACGCCUGAAGUUGGUAGCCUAGCGCUAACGCGGGGGCGCCACCGAAGGCGGGGCUGGCAACUGGGACGAAGUCGUAACAAGGUAACCGUA